Molecule: ribosomal RNA, 588 nt
Filed under: Hanseniaspora uvarum
Lineage: Eukaryota; Fungi; Ascomycota; Saccharomycetes; Saccharomycodales; Saccharomycodaceae
Description: eukaryotic LSU rRNA
Rfam family: Eukaryotic large subunit ribosomal RNA
Source: RNAcentral
CGGAGGAAAAGAAACCAACUGGGAUUACCUUAGUAACGGCGAGUGAAGCGGUAAAAGCUCAAAUUUGAAAUCUGGUACUUUCAGUGCCCGAGUUGUAAUUUGUAGAAUUUGUCUUUGAUUAGGUCCUUGUCUAUGUUCCUUGGAACAGGACGUCAUAGAGGGUGAGAAUCCCGUUUGGCGAGGAUACCUUUUCUCUGUAAGACUUUUUCGAAGAGUCGAGUUGUUUGGGAAUGCAGCUCAAAGUGGGUGGUAAAUUCCAUCUAAAGCUAAAUAUUGGCGAGAGACCGAUAGCGAACAAGUACAGUGAUGGAAAGAUGAAAAGAACUUUGAAAAGAGAGUGAAAAAGUACGUGAAAUUGUUGAAAGGGAAGGGCAUUUGAUCAGACAUGGUGUUUUUUGCAUGCACUCGCCUCUCGUGGGCUUGGGCCUCUCAAAAAUUUCACUGGGCCAACAUCAAUUCUGGCAGCAGGAUAAAUCAUUAAGAAUGUAGCUACUUCGGUAGUGUUAUAGCUUUUUGGAAUACUGUUAGCCGGGAUUGAGGACUGCGCUUCGGCAAGGAUGUUGGCAUAAUGGUUAAAUGCCGCCCGUC